RNAcentral lists this ribosomal RNA (253 nucleotides) under uncultured bacterium. RNAcentral describes it as "partial 16S ribosomal RNA". It matches the Rfam family "Bacterial small subunit ribosomal RNA", at positions 524 to 776 of the family's 1533-position model. The record is from RNAcentral.
UACGUAGGGGGCUAGCGUUGUCCGGAAUCAUUGGGCGUAAAGCGCGUGUAGGCGGCUCGGUAAGUCCGCUGUGAAAGUCGGGGGCUCAACCCUCGAAUGCCGGUGGAUACUGUCGGGCUAGAGUGCGGAAGAGGCGAGUGGAAUUCCUGGUGUAGCGGUGAAAUGCGCAGAUAUCAGGAGGAACACCAAUUGCGAAGGCAGCUCGCUGGGACGUAACUGACGCUGAGACGCGAAAGCGUGGGGAGCAAACAGG